AUUAGAUCACAUGCCGUCAUAUGCUCAUAAGUCUCAUCAGAUAAUAGAAGCUUCCUCAUAAUAAUAAUUGAGAGAUUUGUCAACAAGUAAAUUUUUAAACCUAUUCGUCACACUACAAAUUCCAAUUGUCAUUUCAAUAUUUUUCAUUACAUUACAUUCACCACGAAAUGGUUUAUGGUAGAUCUUUCAAAUUUCGCAGAUUCAUCCUGAUGACGUCACUGAUGUCGUCACCGCUCCCCUUCACAAAGACUUCACACGUGAGAAGAUCAAUUGCUGAAUCUAUUAAGAUAAUGCAAGAUAAUUAUAAAGAAGAAAACUUAAUUCGAAUCGAUUUUCUGU
Long non-coding RNA from Bombyx mori (domestic silkworm), 339 nucleotides. RefSeq lists it as uncharacterized. The record is from RefSeq and is a predicted model, not a curated record. NCBI's taxonomy places the organism in Eukaryota, Metazoa, Arthropoda, Insecta, Lepidoptera, Bombycidae. The transcript has 2 exons.